This 1887-nucleotide long non-coding RNA is filed under the name Rattus norvegicus (Norway rat). Its description in RNAcentral is "long non-coding RNA NONRATT021904". Lineage: Eukaryota; Metazoa; Chordata; Mammalia; Rodentia; Muridae. The record is from RNAcentral.
CCCGGGCGCCGGAGCGCAGAGACCCACCUCCCCACCGCAUCAAUCCUUGCCCGCACCCGCAGCAGCCCCAGCAGCAGCAGCAACAGCAAGCAGCAGCAACAGCAGCAGCAGCAACAGCAGCAGCAGGCUCAGCUCUCAGCUCUGCCCUUCCUCCUUAACACACUCUCCAAGUGACGUGGCAGGCCCCGCCUGCUGCCCCCUCCCACCCCACUCUCACAUCACACCCCUUACCCAGCUAGGGGCUGCAGCAAGCCUGGAUGCUGGAGAGAGAGAGAGAGAGAUGCACACUUGCCUUCCCGGUAAUCUUUCCCGCGCUCUCCUGGCAUGCCUCUUGCUUUCUCACAUUCACACGCACGCCCCCACCCCCACCCCCACCCCAACCAAGCCGCAGUAUCCUAAUAACACACCCACUCCAUCCUCCACAAAUCGUCUCCUCUCAUUUCUGUUCACCGGGCUGACCUACGCAGUGUAUUUCAUCAAAAAAGAAAUCACACGCUAGCCCCCCACACACCCUGCCCAAUAAGCUAUACUCAGCACCUGACCCCUCAAACGCUGUUUACUGGGGGGGUGGCGGGCGGGGGACCCAUGUUUUCUAUAUCCACGAAGACACAUUUGCCAGUUUCAACCUCUACUGGGGGUUGGGGGGGGUGAAGUAUUUUUAAAUGUCUUGAGAGCUUUCCAUCUCGGCUGUGUCCCAGUGUUAAUUCCCCAACAGACUCUCACUUCUACAACCUGGAAAGGCAAGGCCGAAUCUCACCUUCAAGGCAUAGUGAAAGUAAGAGGGCAGGAAAAACCUGUUCAUGCCCAGUGAGUAGGAAACCGUCCUCUCAUGGUGUCCAGAAGACAUCCACCAUCAUCUCCAUGAUAAAGCACCAGGAGGCUAUGUUACUGAAGAAACACUAUAUAAAGGAAUGGCAGCCAGGAAUCUUUGCUCCAAGCCUCCCUAGGGGGGAAAGAAAAAAAGAAAAGAUUGUGCAAUUUACAUUUAUCUAUGUCGAGAAAGGGGAGGGAAGGAUAAACAAAAAGGAGGUACAAUACAAUGUCAAUAAACAAUACAGCCAUCUAAUGAGCAUCUAAUAGACACAUUUUAAUCACUUUACCAGAAUGACAGCCUCCCUUUCUAGGCCACCGAGACUCAUUUGGUAGGAUUUGGAUGGGACAAAAUACUCUGCCUCUCUUAGAAUUCGAGGAAGAUUUCCCAUCCAUUCUCCCAGAGACUUUAGAGAGCUUCCUCCCUAGAUCACAUAGAGGGUACAUCUUAGUGUUUCAGACUACCACAUCCAGGUUGCUCGCUCUUGACUUCCUGUGGCCACAGCAGAUUGGCUGCCAAUGGCCAGUGCUUCUGUGCAGCUGCUUCCUCGUAAGGAAGAGCGUCCGUAGGAUAAGGGUGGGAAUGACACCUUAGAUUCUCCCAAGCCAUGAGAUACACACGUGGGUUCUUAGCCAUACGAUAUACACAGACUGUUUUAAAACCAUAGCAGUUUCCACAGCAGGUGCUUGCACAGGGACGAGGCAGGGGAGGAAAGAGCUCCUGGACCCGCAAGGAGGAAAUCAAGUGGAGAUGAUGCUGACUUCAACAAACCCUGCUGCUUGUGCUCUCGCCCGUCCCUCCCCAGGUCUACCUGCAGCAGCCUCUGCCUCUCUUGUAUUUGCCUUGGUCUCCACUCUUCCCCUAGCCUUGCACAGUUCAGUGAAGGGUGAGAGAGCAAGUGUUCUGCAUUUACCCAGUCGAUAAUUUUCCCAUUUGCAGGCUAUGUAAUUAAGCCAUUUAGACAUCACACAGAAGUUACUCCACUCAAAAGAAAAAAAAAUAAAAUAAAGCGACAACAAACACGGUAUAGGGGACACAUUCCCACCCUUGUCCUAUGCUCCACGAGUAUUUCCUGG